CCUACGGGAGGCUGCAGUGAGGAAUAUUGGUCAAUGGCCGCAGGGCUGAACCAGCCAAGUCGCGUGAGGGAUGACGGUCCUAUGGAUUGUAAACCUCUUUUGUCAGGGAGCAAAGGGCGCCACGUGUGGCGCUUUGCGAGUACCUGAAGAAAAAGCAUCGGCUAACUCCGUGCCAGCAGCCGCGGUAAUACGGAGGAUGCGAGCGUUAUCCGGAUUUAUUGGGUUUAAAGGGUGCGCAGGCGGAAUGUCAAGUCAGCGGUAAAAUUUCGGGGCUCAACCCCGUCGUGCCGUUGAAACUGGCGUUCUUGAGUGAGCGAGAAGUAUGCGGAAUGCGUGGUGUAGCGGUGAAAUGCAGAGAUAUCACGCAGAACUCCGAUUGCGAAGGCAGCAUACCGGCGCUCAACUGACGCUCAUGCACGAAAGCGUGGGUAUCGAACAGGAUUAGAUACCCGAGUAGUC
RNAcentral lists this ribosomal RNA (459 nucleotides) under uncultured bacterium. Its description in RNAcentral is "partial 16S ribosomal RNA". It matches the Rfam family "Bacterial small subunit ribosomal RNA", at positions 338 to 795 of the family's 1533-position model. The record is from RNAcentral.